RNAcentral lists this ribosomal RNA (426 nucleotides) under uncultured bacterium. RNAcentral describes it as "bacterial SSU rRNA". It matches the Rfam family "Bacterial small subunit ribosomal RNA", at positions 358 to 795 of the family's 1533-position model. The record is from RNAcentral.
GGAAUUUUCCGCAAUGGGCGAAAGCCUGACGCAGCGACGCCGCGUGGAGGAUGAAGGCCUUCGGGUUGUAAACUCCUGUCAGAGGUGUAGAAAACGCCUGACGGUAACCUCAGAGGAAGCCCCGGCUAACUACGUGCCAGCAGCCGCGGUAAUACGUAGGGGGCAAACGUUGCUCGGAAUUACUGGGCGUGAAGGGUGUGUAGGUGGCUGAGCAAGUCAAGGAUGAAAUCCCGGGGCUCAACUCCGGAACUGUCCUUGAAACUGUUCAGCUUGAGGGUGGUUGAGGAAGACGGAAUUCCCGGUGGAGCGGUGAGAUGCGUAGAUAUCGGGAGGAACACCAAUAUGGCGAAGGCACUGUACUGGGCUUUUCCUGACGCUAAGAGAUGAAAGCUGAAGGAGUGAUUAGGAUUAGAUACCCCUGUAGUC